GAUGAAGAACGUAGCGAAAUGCGAUAAGUAGUGUGAAUUGCAGAAUUCAGUGAAUCAUCGAGUCUUUGAACGCACAUUGCGCCCUUUGGUAUUCCUUAGGACAUGCCUGUUCGAGCGUCAUUUAAACCUUCAAGCUAAGCUUGGUGUUGGGUGACUGUCCGCUUCACGGCGGACUCGCCUCAAAAUUAUUGGCGGCCGGUACAUUGGCUUCGAGCGCAGCAGAAACGCGAACUCGGGCCCGUCGUAUUGGCUCCCAGAAGCUAUCUUCACAAUUUUGACCUCGGAUCAGGUAGGGAUACCCGCUGAACUUAAGCAUAUCAAUAAGCGGAGGA
RNAcentral lists this unclassified non-coding RNA (332 nucleotides) under soil metagenome. Its description in RNAcentral is "partial contains 5.8S ribosomal RNA, internal transcribed spacer 2, and large subunit ribosomal RNA". The stretch from base 1 to 120 matches the Rfam family "5.8S ribosomal RNA", at positions 35 to 154 of the family's 154-position model. The record is from RNAcentral.